GAUGAACGCUGGCGGCGUGCCUAAUACAUGCAAGUCGAGCGAACAGACGAGGAGCUUGCUCCUCUGACGUUAGCGGCGGACGGGUGAGUAACACGUGGAUAACCUACCUAUAAGACUGGGAUAACUUCGGGAAACCGGAGCUAAUACCGGAUAAUAUAUUGAACCGCAUGGUUCAAUGGUGAAAGACGCUUUUGCAUUACUUAAUGAUGGUACCGCGUCGUCUUAGCUAGUUGGUUAGGUAAAGGCUUACCAAGGCGAAGAUGCGUAGCCGACCUGGGAGGGUGAUCGGCCACACUGGAACUGGGACACGGUCCAGACUCCUACGGGAGGCAGCAGUAGGGAAUCUUCCGUAAUGGGCGAAAGCCUGACGGAGCAACGCCGCGUGAGUGAUGAAGGUCUUCGGAUCGUAAAACUCUGUGAUUAGGGAAGAACAAAUGUGUAAGUAACUAUGCACGUCUUGACGGUACCUAAUCAGAAAGCCACGGCUAACUACGUG
RNAcentral lists this ribosomal RNA (496 nucleotides) under uncultured bacterium. Its description in RNAcentral is "partial 16S ribosomal RNA". It matches the Rfam family "Bacterial small subunit ribosomal RNA", at positions 28 to 507 of the family's 1533-position model. The record is from RNAcentral.